GACGAACGCUGGCGGCGUGCUUAACACAUGCAAGUCGAACGGAAAGGCCCUGCUUUUGUGGGGUGCUCGAGUGGCGAACGGGUGAUUAACACGUGAGUAACCUGCCCUUGACUUUGGGAUAACUUCAGUAAACUGGGGCUAAUCCCGGAUAGGAGCUCCUGCUGCAUGGUGGGGGUUGGAAAGUUUCGUCGGUUGGGGAUGGACUCGCGGCUUAUCAGCUUGUUGGUGGGGUAGUGGCUUACCAAGGCUUUGACGGGUAGCCGGCCUGAGAGGGUGACCGGCCACAGUGGGACUGAGAUACGGCACAGACUCCUACGGGAGGCAGCAGUGGGGAAUAUUGCACAAUGGGCGGAAGCCUGAUGCAGCAACGCCGCAUGCGGGAUGACGGCCUUCGGGUUGUAAACCGCUUUCGCCUGUGACGAAGCGUGAGUGACGGUAAUGGGUAAAGAAGCACCGGCUAACUACGUG
RNAcentral lists this ribosomal RNA (468 nucleotides) under uncultured bacterium. RNAcentral describes it as "partial 16S ribosomal RNA". It matches the Rfam family "Bacterial small subunit ribosomal RNA", at positions 28 to 507 of the family's 1533-position model. The record is from RNAcentral.